This 449-nucleotide ribosomal RNA is filed under the name uncultured bacterium. Its description in RNAcentral is "bacterial SSU rRNA". It matches the Rfam family "Bacterial small subunit ribosomal RNA", at positions 28 to 507 of the family's 1533-position model. The record is from RNAcentral.
GAUGAACGCUGGCGGCGUGCCUAACACAUGCAAGUCGAGCGGCAGCGCGAGUAGUUUACUACUUGGCGGCGAGCGGCGGACGGCUGAGUAACGCGUAGGAAUGUGCCCCAAAGUGAGGGAUAAGCACCGGAAACGGUGUCUAAUACCGCAUAUGGUCUUCGGAUUAAAGCUUCGGCGCUUUGGGAACAGCCUGCGUCCGAUUAGGUUGUUGGUGAGGUAAUAGCUCACCAAGCCGACGAUCGGUAGCUGGUCUGAGAGGAUGAUCAGCCAGACUGGAACUGAGACACGGUCCAGACUCCUACGGAAGGCAGCAGUGAGGAAUCUUCCACAAUGGGGGCAACCCUGAUGGAGCAACGCCGCGUGCAGGAUGAAGGCCUUCGGGUCGUAAACUGCUUUUAUUAGUGAAGAAUAUGACGGUAACUAAUGAAUAAGGAUCGGCUAACUACGUG